RNA transcript from Lycium barbarum (goji berry), 1452 nucleotides. It is a transcript of the gene named RNA-binding protein 2-like, with no coding region annotated. The transcript has 8 exons. Lineage: Eukaryota; Viridiplantae; Streptophyta; Magnoliopsida; Solanales; Solanaceae. The record is from RefSeq and is a predicted model, not a curated record.
UAAAUGAAAAUGGGGCAAAAUUCCUUAUUUACUUCGCCUAUAAAAGAAGGCUGACUUCCUUUUCAGUCAUUAUUUUCAAAGCAGUUGCAAUAGAAAUUUACAUACUAUACUUUGUUUUAUUCUCUCGUUCGGUGGAGUGACACAUGGCGGAUGCUUAUUGGAGGUACAGUGGCGGUGGGCAGCACGCGCCGCCGGCGGGGGUGGCUCUUCCACCUCUUCUCGCAAAACGUCCUCGCACCGAAUUUGAUGCUCCAAGUGGUCCUGCGUAUCCUGGCUAUUAUGGACGUGAUGAUGAAAGGGGAAUGCCUCGAGUCACCGGAGGCGCAGAUCCUAUCGAAACAUCCUAUGAGCGCUACCUCCGUAGUGGGCCAAUUUCCUCCCAUGUUGCCAGUGAGCCGGCACGAUCCAUGAAUAGUGGAAUUAGUGGACAUUCUGUUGAAGAUCCACGUGUUAUGGGCAUUCGGGGAUCUGACCCGCUAGCUUUAAAAAGCAGGAAUGCUGGAAUGGUAGGUGGCAGACCAGAAGUUAGCCUUCCUCCGGAUGCUAGCAGUACAUUGUUUGUAGAGGGUUUGCCUGCGGAUUGUACAAGAAGAGAGGUGUCACAUAUAUUCCGCCCUUUUGUAGGUUACAAAGAAGUGAGACUGGUACCAAAAGGAUCAAGACAUGCUGGAGGCGAUCCUUUGAUUCUUUGCUUUGUUGAUUUUGCGAGUCCACUUCAUGCAGCUGCUGCAAUGGAUGCCUUACAAGGUCUAGAGGAGAGUUAUUCAUGAUCGACUUAGAAGAAGAUUUGGCCAUGGAGACAGCAGUGGAGUGCCAAGAACUUUGAUCCAACAAAUGCUGUGCUUUCACAGAAUGGGGCUUACUGGGAUCGAUUCUUCUCUCUUGCUCUCUUUUUCUAUAGAGAGCAUCUGGUGAUUGAAAAAUGGACGUUGGGUGUAACUCAACUUCAAAAGCUAGUUCAACAGGUGAGAAUCGCCGUAAACCAUACAAGAAGACCAAAUGACCACAUCCCCAACGAUGUGAGAUAUCCAAACAUAUGAUUGAUAACUUUUGGCUGGGAUAAUAUCUUCCUGAAGCACCAGCAGGGUGAGCCAGGAGAGAUGACAUUUUAGUUCCUUAUUCAGGAUCUACACGUAAAAGAGAAGGGACCCAAGGGCCUAAGGGUGGCAUAACUUGAAAUGUUCUUCCUCAUAGCCUCUAAUUGCAGCUUUGCAUACUACAUUUUUCCUGGUCAUUUUCUUUCAAAUGUUGAUCACAUUUCUUGGAUUUGUUAAUUCUGUCCUGUUUCAGCAAGGGUUCUAGGGUUUUGGAUAUUUGACUGGUUAUCAAUUGCAUUCUACCAGCAAGUCGUCUGGAUGGUUUCAUACUUGUAAAAUUGUAAUGUAUGUGUCCAUCCUUGUAAUAUAGAACUCUACAGCCAAAAAUUUCUCAACUUCUUUGGUAGUAUCUUAA